This 25-nucleotide microRNA is filed under the name Equus caballus (horse). RNAcentral's name for it is "eca-miR-9010". Lineage: Eukaryota; Metazoa; Chordata; Mammalia; Perissodactyla; Equidae. The record is from miRBase by way of RNAcentral.
UUCAGCCGGUCUCUUAAACAGGAGU